This 387-nucleotide ribosomal RNA is filed under the name Gephyrocapsa sp. RNAcentral's name for it is "partial small subunit ribosomal RNA". It matches the Rfam family "Eukaryotic small subunit ribosomal RNA", at positions 582 to 975 of the family's 1831-position model. The record is from RNAcentral. Lineage: Eukaryota; Haptophyta; Isochrysidales; Noelaerhabdaceae.
AUUCCAGCUCCAAUAGCGUAUAUUAAAGUUGUUGCAGUUAAAACGCUCGUAGUCGGAUUUCGGGGCGGGCCGACCGGUCUGCCGAUGGGUAUGCACUGGCCGGCGCGUCCUUCCACCCGGCGGCGCGCCUCCUCUUAACUGAGCGGGCGCGGGAGACGGGUCUUUUACUUUGAAAAAAUCAGAGUGUUUCAAGCAGGCAGUCGCUCUUGCAUGGAUUAGCAUGGGAUAAUGAAAUAGGACUCUGGUGCUAUUUUGUUGGUUUCGAACACCGGAGUAAUGAUUAACAGGGACAGUCAGGGGCACUCGUAUUCCGCCGAGAGAGGUGAAAUUCUCAGACCAGCGGAAGACGAACCACUGCGAAAGCAUUUGCCAGGGAUGUUUUCAUCA